UGGCUCUCGUAUCGAUGAAGAACGCAGCGAAAUGCGAUAAGUAAUGUGAAUUGCAGAAUUCAGUGAAUCAUCGAAUCUUUGAACGCACCUUGCACCCUUUGGUAUUCCGAAGGGUAUGCCUGUUUGAGUGUCAUUAAAUUCUCAAAAUCAUUAUGGUUUUGGAUAUGAGGAUUGCUGGCUUUAUUGUUGGCUUCCUUUAAAUGCAUGAGUGGCUUUGCCUGCAUAUUAUAAGAUUGUAAUCUGCAUCUUUUAAUUGCACUGACUUGCUGCUAUCUAACUGUUUCAACGAAACAAUUUGAACCAUUUGACUUCAAAUCAGGUAGGACUACCCGCUGA
RNAcentral lists this unclassified non-coding RNA (336 nucleotides) under uncultured fungus. RNAcentral describes it as "partial contains 5.8S ribosomal RNA and internal transcribed spacer 2". The stretch from base 1 to 133 matches the Rfam family "5.8S ribosomal RNA", at positions 22 to 154 of the family's 154-position model. The record is from RNAcentral. Lineage: Eukaryota; Fungi.